CCCUACGGGGCGCAGCAGUCGCGAAAACUUCGCAAUAAGCGAAAGCUUGACGGGGCCAUCCCGAGUGCCAUCUGCUGAGGAUGGCUUUUACCCAGUAUAGAUAGCUGGGGGAAUAAGGAGAGGGCAAGUCUGGUGUCAGCCGCCGCGGUAAUACCAGCUCUCCGAGUUGUGGGGACGUUUAUUGAGCCUGAAGCAUCCGUAGCCGGCUGGGCUAGUCCUCUGUUAAAUCCAGCGAUAAAUCGUUGGCCUGCGGGGGAUACUGCUCGGCUAGGGGGCGGGAGAGGUCGUCGGUAUUCUUGGGGUANGGGUGAAAUCCUGUAAUCC
This 324-nucleotide ribosomal RNA is filed under the name uncultured archaeon. RNAcentral's name for it is "bacterial SSU rRNA". It matches the Rfam family "Archaeal small subunit ribosomal RNA", at positions 321 to 648 of the family's 1478-position model. The record is from RNAcentral.